UCCGCAGGCGGGCAAUUAAGUCAGAGGUGAAAUCCUGCAGCUCAACUGUAGAAUUGCCUUUGAUACUGGUUAUCUUGAAUUAUUGUGAAGUAGUUAGAAUAUGUAGUGUAGCGGUGAAAUGCAUAGAUAUUACAUAGAAUACCAAUUGCGAAGGCAGAUUACUAACAAUAUAUUGACACUGAUGGACGAAAGCGUGGGGAGCGAACAGGAUUAGAUACCCUGGUAGUCC
Molecule: ribosomal RNA, 229 nt
Filed under: uncultured bacterium
Lineage: Bacteria
Description: partial 16S ribosomal RNA
Rfam family: Bacterial small subunit ribosomal RNA
Source: RNAcentral